GCAGCCCCGGUCCCAGCCCCGGCUGUCCUGGCAUCGCUUCCGAGCGCGGCAGCAGCUGACUGUGCCUUCACAAUCCGCUGGGACCCGCGAGCCCUGCCACCGUUAUGAACAUCCGCAGUGUGAGGCCAGAGGACCUGAUGAACAUGCAGCACUGCAACCUCCUCUGCCUGCCCGAGAACUACCAGAUGAAAUACUACUUCUCCCAUGGCCUCUCCUGGCCCCAGCUCUCUUACAUUGCUGAGGGUGAGAAUGGGAAGAUUGUGGGGUAUGUCCUGGCCAAAAUGGAAGAGGACGCAGAUGAUGUGCCCCAUGGACAUAUCACCUCAUUGGCUGUGAUGCGUUCCCACUGGCACCUCGUUCUGGCACAGAAACUGAUGGACCAGGCCUCUCGAGCCAUGAUAGAGAACUUCAAUGCCAAGUACGUCUCCCUGCAUGUCAGGAAGAGUAACUGGGCUGCCCUGCACCUCUAUUCCAAUACCCUCAACUUUCAGAUCAGUGAAGUGGAGCCCAAAUACUAUGCAGAUGGGGAGGAUGCCUUCGCCAGGAAGCAGGAUCUCACCCCGAUGGCCGAUGAGCUGAGGCGUCACCUGGUGCUGAAGGAGAAGGGCAGGCACAUGGUGCUGGAUGCCAUCAAGAACAAGGUGGAGAGCAAAGGCAGUUCACCUCCGAGCUCAGGAGAGGCCUGUCAUGAGGAGAAGGGCCUGGCUGCCGAGGAUAGUGGUGGGGACAGCAAGGACCUCAGUGAGGUCAGCGAGACCACAGAGAGCACAAAUGUCAAAGACAGCUCAGAGGCCUCCGACUCGGCCGCCUAGAGCCUGCCCCAUCCCUUCCUCACCCCACAAGCUUUCACAAUAAAUUUGCUCCGUGUAAAAA
This is an RNA transcript of Sapajus apella (tufted capuchin), 873 nucleotides long. It is a transcript of the gene named N-alpha-acetyltransferase 10 pseudogene, with no coding region annotated. The transcript has a single exon. The record is from RefSeq and is a predicted model, not a curated record. Lineage: Eukaryota; Metazoa; Chordata; Mammalia; Primates; Cebidae.